Molecule: long non-coding RNA, 288 nt
Organism: Nicotiana tabacum (common tobacco)
Lineage: Eukaryota; Viridiplantae; Streptophyta; Magnoliopsida; Solanales; Solanaceae
Source: RefSeq, a predicted model, not a curated record
GAUAACUCGAAGGAGGUUCGUUUCACCAGCGUCCACAUGCACUAUGGUGGUAUCUGCAUUAACAUGAUUUCUAUGAAAACAUGUGCUAACAGAGAUCACCUGGUUGGCCAUUGAUGGUGUAAGCAUCAGAUACAUUAGGAGCUGCUCCUGUUCUUGAUGCUCGUCUUACAACAUCAAUCGGAAAUGAUAAAAGCUUUUGGUAUUGAAGAGAAGGUAGAAGUAGUACCAAGCAUAAUUGGUGUUUCUCUUUUGGGCUUAGCAAAUGGAUAGGAUUCGCCUUCUUUUGGA